UUGAACGCUGGCGGCAUGCCUUACACAUGCAAGUCGAACGGUAACAGGUCUUCGGAUGCUGACGAGUGGCGAACGGGUGAGUAAUACAUCGGAACGUGCCCGAUCGUGGGGGAUAACGGAGCGAAAGCUUUGCUAAUACCGCAUACGAUCUACGGAUGAAAGCAGGGGACCGCAAGGCCUUGCGCGGACGGAGCGGCCGAUGGCAGAUUAGGUAGUUGGUGGGGUAAAGGCCUACCAAGCCUGCGAUCUGUAGCUGGUCUGAGAGGACGACCAGCCACACUGGGACUGAGACACGGCCCAGACUCCUACGGGAGGCAGCAGUGGGGAAUUUUGGACAAUGGGCGAAAGCCUGAUCCAGCCAUGCCGCGUGCGGGAAGAAGGCCUUCGGGUUGUAAACCGCUUUUGUCAGGGAAGAAAUCCUUUGAGCUAAUACCUCGGAGGGAUGACGGUACCUGAAGAAUAAGCACCGGCUAACUACGU
This 480-nucleotide ribosomal RNA is filed under the name uncultured bacterium. RNAcentral describes it as "bacterial SSU rRNA". It matches the Rfam family "Bacterial small subunit ribosomal RNA", at positions 30 to 506 of the family's 1533-position model. The record is from RNAcentral.